UACGUAGGGUGCAAGCGUUAAUCGGAAUUACUGGGCGUAAAGCGUGCGCAGGCGGUUAUGUAAGACAGAUUUGAAAUCCCCGGGCUCAACCUGGGAACUGCAUUUGUGACUGCAUAGCUAGAGUACGGUAGAGGGGGAUGGAAUUCCGCGUGUAGCAGUGAAAUGCGUAGAUAUGCGGAGGAACACCGAUGGCGAAGGCAAUCCCCUGGGCCUGCACUGACGCUCAUGCACGAAAGCGUGGGGAGCAAACAGG
This 253-nucleotide ribosomal RNA is filed under the name uncultured bacterium. Its description in RNAcentral is "partial 16S ribosomal RNA". It matches the Rfam family "Bacterial small subunit ribosomal RNA", at positions 524 to 776 of the family's 1533-position model. The record is from RNAcentral.